GAUGAACGCUGGCGGCGUGCCUAAUACAUGCAAGUCGAGCGAACGGACGAGAAGCUUGCUUCUCUGAUGUUAGCGGCGGACGGGUGAGUAACACGUGGAUAACCUACCUAUAAGACUGGGAUAACUUCGGGAAACCGGAGCUAAUACCGGAUAAUAUUUUGAACCGCAUGGUUCAAAAGUGAAAGACGGUCUUGCUGUCACUUAUAGAUGGAUCCGCGCUGCAUUAGCUAGUUGGUAAGGUAACGGCUUACCAAGGCAACGAUGCAUAGCCGACCUGAGAGGGUGAUCGGCCACACUGGAACUGAGACACGGUCCAGACUCCUACGGGAGGCAGCAGUAGGGAAUCUUCCGCAAUGGGCGAAAGCCUGACGGAGCAACGCCGCGUGAGUGAUGAAGGUCUUCGGAUCGUAAAACUCUGUUAUUAGGGAAGAACAUAUGUGUAAGUAACUGUGCACAUCUUGACGGUACCUAAUCAGAAAGCCACGGCUAACUACGUGCCAGCAGCCGCGGUAAUACGUAGGUGGCAAGCGUUAUCCGGAAUUAUUGGGCGUAAAGCGCGCGUAGGCGGUUUUUUAAGUCUGAUGUGAAAGCCCACGGCUCAACCGUGGAGGGUCAUUGGAAACUGGAAAACUUGAGUGCAGAAGAGGAAAGUGGAAUUCCAUGUGUAGCGGUGAAAUGCGCAGAGAUAUGGAGGAACACCAGUGGCGAAGGCGACUUUCUGGUCUGUAACUGACGCUGAUGUGCGAAAGCGUGGGGAUCAAACAGGAUUAGAUACCCUGGUAGUCCACGCCGUAAACGAUGAGUGCUAAGUGUUAGGGGGUUUCCGCCCCUUAGUGCUGCAGCUAACGCAUUAAGCACUCCGCCUGGGGAGUACGACCGCAAGGUUGAAACUCAAAGGAAUUGACGGGGACCCGCACAAGCGGUGGAGCAUGUGGUUUAAUUCGAAGCAACGCGAAGAACCUUACCAAAUCUUGACAUCCUUUGACAACUCUAGAGAUAGAGCCUUCCCCUUCGGGGGACAAAGUGACAGGUGGUGCAUGGUUGUCGUCAGCUCGUGUCGUGAGAUGUUGGGUUAAGUCCCGCAACGAGCGCAACCCUUAAGCUUAGUUGCCAUCAUUAAGUUAGGCACUCUAAGUUGACUGCCGGUGACAAACCGGAGGAAGGUGGGGAUGACGUCAAAUCAUCAUGCCCCUUAUGAUUUGGGCUACACACGUGCUACAAUGGACAAUACAAAGGGCAGCGAAACCGCGAGGUCAAGCAAAUCCCAUAAAGUUGUUCUCAGUUCGGAUUGUAGUCUGCAACUCGACUACAUGAAGCUGGAAUCGCUAGUAAUCGUAGAUCAGCAUGCUACGGUGAAUACGUUCCCGGGUCU
This 1372-nucleotide ribosomal RNA is filed under the name uncultured bacterium. RNAcentral's name for it is "bacterial SSU rRNA". It matches the Rfam family "Bacterial small subunit ribosomal RNA", at positions 28 to 1381 of the family's 1533-position model. The record is from RNAcentral.